This 16-nucleotide small RNA is filed under the name Arabidopsis thaliana (thale cress). RNAcentral describes it as "ATSL195550". Lineage: Eukaryota; Viridiplantae; Streptophyta; Magnoliopsida; Brassicales; Brassicaceae. The record is from RNAcentral.
AGAGCAAGAAGAAACA